CAUCAACUAAUAUCAUGUCAAUUGAAUAAAUGACAAAGAAUAGCAAAGGUGGGGAGAAAAAUCUGCCCCAUAAAUAAACAUAUAUACAUAUCUACUUCAAAAGAUAACAUUAAGGGCGGUAUGUGGGUGGGAAUUUUGAACAAAUUGUUUGAUAAGAAUCACAAGUUAACACAUCAAAUGCUGAUGAUAAAAGGAAGUGACCACAAUACACUUACACGUGAACUCGUACUGACCCGCAAGAUCAUUGACCAAUAAGAAAGAUGCCAAUCAUGCAUUGGUCAUAAGUGAAAUUUCUCUGCACGUGAAAACAUGUUAUCUAAUUUCAACAAUUUAUCGUUUAAUUAAGUAGGACACUCUGACCCUUUGACCAGACUAGAGACAUCAUACAUUUACAGUAUUAAUAGCUCACUCUUUUAUUUAAGUCGGUUAGUAAUAACCAAUUAAAACAGAAUUAUCUUCUCUGCUGUCUUAAAUUAUUUUAUUCCGCUUAAUUUUCAAUUAGCAAAUAAAAUUGGUUUUAAGACAGACAGCUAGAUACCAUAAACAUACUAUGUAUACACAAGCCAGAGUCUGAGCUUGAUUUGCUAUAUGAUAUAAAAACUAAACUGACGAAAAAAGGUCAUUUAUUCAAAAUCAUAAAAUGCAAAAAAUACAUUUUGCAAAUAAAACAUUUGACAUAAAAGUUCAUAUUUAAUAUGAAAUAAUAAUACAUAAUUAAUACGAAAUUACAUCAACUAAUAUCAUGUCAAUUGAAUAAAUGACAAAGAAUAGCAAAGGUGGGGAGAAAAAUCUGCCACAAAUCCACUCUUAGGCUGAAAGAGUGGAUCUGAAAUCCACUCUAAGGCUGAAAGAGCGGAUCCCCACCCGAGGACUCUGGCGACGUGAAUACAAUUAUAUAUGACUUGAAAAAAAAAAUACAUUCACAUACAUGUACACCAAACACAUAUCACUUUAUUAUGUAAAAC
RNAcentral lists this long non-coding RNA (965 nucleotides) under Mytilus galloprovincialis (Mediterranean mussel). Lineage: Eukaryota; Metazoa; Mollusca; Bivalvia; Mytilida; Mytilidae. The record is from RNAcentral.